Molecule: ribosomal RNA, 497 nt
Filed under: uncultured bacterium
Lineage: Bacteria
Description: partial 16S ribosomal RNA
Rfam family: Bacterial small subunit ribosomal RNA
Source: RNAcentral
GAUGAACGCUGGCGGCGUGCCUAAUACAUGCAAGUCGAGCGAACAGACGAGGAGCUUGCUCCUCUGACGUUAGCGGCGGACGGGUGAGUAACACGUGGAUAACCUACCUAUAAUACUGGGAUAACUUCGGGAAACCGGAGCUAAUACCGGAUAAUAUAUUGAACCGCAUGGUUCAAUAGUGAAAGACGGUUUUGCUGUCACUUAUAGAUGGAUCCGCGCCGCAUUAGCUAGUUGGUAAGGUAACGGCUUACCAAGGCAACGAUGCGUAGCCGACCUGAGAGGGUGAUCGGCCACACUGGAACUGAGACACGGUCCAGACUCCUACGGGAGGCAGCAGUAGGGAAUCUGCCGCAAUGGGCGAAAGCCUGACGGAGCAACGCCGCGUGAGUGAUGAAGGUCUUCGGAUCGUAAAACUCUGUUAUUAGGGAAGAACAAAUGUGUAAGUAACUAUGCACGUCUUGACGGUACCGAAUCAGAAAGCCACGGCUAACUACGUG